This is a long non-coding RNA of Serinus canaria (Common canary), 352 nucleotides long. RefSeq lists it as uncharacterized. The transcript has 3 exons. Lineage: Eukaryota; Metazoa; Chordata; Aves; Passeriformes; Fringillidae. The record is from RefSeq and is a predicted model, not a curated record.
AGGAGAAAAGGAAACUGCUGUUGAACACGGGAUGCCUGGGAUUUCUGUUUCACAUUAGACUUUUUUAAAUAUUUGAACUCUGCUUUGUGACGGAACAAAUUAGAGCUGAAACCACAGGGCGGCUCUUCUGGAGUACUCUGAGAAAUGUGAAACUCAUGCUGUGUGAAUGUCUUAUUCAUGUGCAAACUGUACCAAUUCAGGAUAACAACCAGUGGGAAUAAAGCACUACCUGCAGACCUAUAAACAUAAAGGGAAAAGAAAACUGGAAAAAAAAAAGGACCAUGUUGAAUGUGGACCUUAUUCCCCAGUCUUACUCUGAAGAAAAAAGAGCUACAAAGAAUAAUGACCCAUG